RNAcentral lists this ribosomal RNA (250 nucleotides) under uncultured bacterium. RNAcentral's name for it is "partial 16S ribosomal RNA". It matches the Rfam family "Bacterial small subunit ribosomal RNA", at positions 83 to 334 of the family's 1533-position model. The record is from RNAcentral.
CUCCGCCGGCGACCGGCGCACGGGUGCGUAACGCGUAUGCAACCUACCUUUAACAGGGGGAUAACACUGAGAAAUUGGUACUAAUACCCCAUAACAUCAGGACCGGCAUCGGUUCUGGUUGAAAACUCCGGUGGUUAUGGAUGGGCAUGCGUUGUAUUAGCUGGUUGGUGAGGUAACGGCUCACCAAGGCAACGAUACAUAGGGGGACUGAGAGGUUAACCCCCCACAUUGGUACUGAGACACGGACCAA